AACGAACGCUGGCGGCAUGCCUAACACAUGCAAGUCGAACGAGACCUUCGGGUCUAGUGGCGCACGGGUGCGUAACGCGUGGGAACCUGCCUUUAGGUUCGGAAUAACUCAGAGAAAUUUGAGCUAAUACCGGAUGAUGUCUUCGGACCAAAGAUUUAUCGCCUUUCGAUGGGCCCGCGUUGGAUUAGCUUGUUGGUGGGGUAAAGGCCUACCAAGGCGACGAUCCAUAGCUGGUCUGAGAGGAUGAUCAGCCACACUGGGACUGAGACACGGCCCAGACUCCUACGGGAGGCAGCAGUUAAGAAUAUUGGACAAUGGGCGAAAGCCUGAUCCAGCAAUGCCGCGUGAGUGAUGAAGGCCUUAGGGUUGUAAAGCUCUUUUACCCGAGAUGAUAAUGACAGUAGCGGGAGAAUAAGCUCCGGCUAACUCCGUG
Molecule: ribosomal RNA, 433 nt
Filed under: uncultured bacterium
Lineage: Bacteria
Description: partial 16S ribosomal RNA
Rfam family: Bacterial small subunit ribosomal RNA
Source: RNAcentral